Molecule: small nuclear RNA, 163 nt
Filed under: Echinops telfairi (small Madagascar hedgehog)
Lineage: Eukaryota; Metazoa; Chordata; Mammalia; Afrosoricida; Tenrecidae
Description: U1 spliceosomal RNA (ENSETEG00000021917.1)
Rfam family: U1 spliceosomal RNA
About the family: U1 is a small nuclear RNA (snRNA) component of the spliceosome (involved in pre-mRNA splicing). Its 5' end forms complementary base pairs with the 5' splice junction, thus defining the 5' donor site of an intron.
Source: RNAcentral
AUACUUAGCUGGCAGGAGAGAUACCAUGAUCACGAAGGUGGUUUUCCCAGGGCGAGGCUUAUCCAUUGCACUCCGGAUGUGCUGACCCCUGCGAUUCCCCAAAUGUGGGAAACUCGACUGCAUAAUCUGUGGUAGUGGGGGGCUGCGUUCGCGCUCUCCCCUG